CCGUUAGGAGGGAAACGAAUGCGGCUGAAGUUGGCUCCCCGUCAGGCUCAGGAGAGGUCGGUCGGGUCCGGAGGUCGCGCGGUUGCUCGCCGCCGGUCGCCCGGUGCCCGCCGACCGAUCUGCAAUUCUGCGGGGAGCCGGCCAACGGCAGUUGCUCCCGGCCCAGGAGGGCGUCGUGGGUAGGUGGCCCCGCGUCAGCGUGGGGACCUUACAGCCCGACGCCUGGACGUUCCGGGACGCGACUGAGGACAGUUGCGAGUUGUCAUCGCACGGGCAGCGCAGGCUCCGAAAAUUUAUUUUCGGGGCUGGGCCGCUCCGGCCCGGUGGGCGGCUGCGGUGGUCACUGCUCCGUCAGUGGCCUGCCGACGGCGUCUGUCCGCCGGGACGGUGAUCGGUCGCACCCUGCGCUGCGGUCGUUGGUGCCCGAAUGGCCGCAUCCGACCCGUCUUGAAACACGGACCAAGGAGUGCAACAUGCGUGCGAGUCUUUGGGUGGCAAACCCGUGGGCGCAAUGAAAGUGAAGGCAGGUGUUCUGGCCUGCUGUGGCGGGAGCCCUCGCGAGGGGGCGCACCGUCGACCGAUCCCAGGCUACGCUGUGGCGGGAUUUGAGUGAGAGCGUGCCUGUUGCGACCCGAAAGAUGGUGAACUAUGCCUGAA
This 657-nucleotide ribosomal RNA is filed under the name Hemimycale columella. Its description in RNAcentral is "eukaryotic LSU rRNA". The stretch from base 459 to 657 matches the Rfam family "Eukaryotic large subunit ribosomal RNA", at positions 665 to 841 of the family's 3401-position model. The record is from RNAcentral. Lineage: Eukaryota; Metazoa; Porifera; Demospongiae; Poecilosclerida; Hymedesmiidae.